GCAGCAGGCACGCAAAUUACCCACUCCCGGCACGGGGAGGUAGUGACAAAAAAUAACGAUACGGGACUCUUUUAGAGGCCCCGUAAUCGGAAUGAAUACACUUUAAAACCUUGUUUAAAGGUCAAUCGGAGGGAAAGUCUGGUGCCAGCAGCCGCGGUAACUCCAGCUCCGAUAGCGUAUAUUAAAAUUGUUGCGGUUAAAAAGCUCGUAGUUGGUUCUGCGUACCACGCUGUCGGUACACCGCCUGUCGGUGACACUGGCAUGCCGUGGUAUGUCCUGUCGGUGGCGGCCGUCUAAGCCACGCGGACCAAGCGGCGUCCGGGCAAUGCCGAGCCGCCCGCGAGGCCCAAGCGCGGUCGCCGACUCCUAUCCUACCGCGGUGCUCUUAAUUGAGUGUCGAGGUAGGCCGACACGUUUACUUUGAACAAAUUAGAGUGCUUAAAGCAGGCUCAAAUUUCUGCCUGAAUAGUGGUGCAUGGAAUAAUGGAACAGGCCCUUGGUCCUAUUCUGUUGGUCUCCGGGACACAAGGUAAUGAUCAAUAUGGACAGUGCGGGGGCAUUCGUAUUGCGGCGUUAGAGGUGAAAUUCUUGGAUCGUCGCAAGACGCACUAGAGCGAAAGCAUUUGCCAAGUAUGUCUUAAUUGAUCAAGAACGAAAGUUAGAGGUUCGAAGGCGAUCAGAUACCGCCCUAGUUCUAACCAUAAACGAUGCCAGCCAGCGAUCCGCCGAUGUUCCUCCGAUGACUCGGCGGGGAGCUUCCCCCGGGAAACCAAAGCGUUUGGGUUCCGGGGGAAGUAUGGUUGCAAAGCUGAAACUUAAAGGAAUUGACGGAAGGGCACCACCAGGAGUGGAGCCUGCGGCUUAAUUUGACUCAACACGGGAAACCUCACCAGGUCAGGACAUUGGAAUGAUUGACAGAUUGAUAGCUCUUUCUUGAUUCAGUG
Molecule: ribosomal RNA, 944 nt
Filed under: Orius insidiosus
Lineage: Eukaryota; Metazoa; Arthropoda; Insecta; Hemiptera; Anthocoridae
Description: SSU rRNA
Rfam family: Eukaryotic small subunit ribosomal RNA
Source: RNAcentral